Molecule: RNase P RNA, 417 nt
Filed under: Treponema sp.
Lineage: Bacteria; Pseudomonadati; Spirochaetota; Spirochaetia; Treponematales; Treponemataceae
Description: RNase P RNA component class A
Rfam family: Bacterial RNase P class A
About the family: Ribonuclease P (RNase P) is a ubiquitous endoribonuclease, found in archaea, bacteria and eukarya as well as chloroplasts and mitochondria.
Source: RNAcentral
CAGAAAAGAUAUAACCGUGCCUGAUUUGCUGAUGAAAGCAGACUCGGGUGAGGAAAGUCCGGGCUCCACCGGAAAAAACGCCGGAUAACAACCGGGCAGAAGAAGGAACUUGUUUAUCAGUCCUUGUGGCUGUCAGCAUAAGCCUUCCUUCUGACAGACAGUGCCACAGAAAAUAAACCGCCUUCGGGUAAGGGUGAAAAGGUGAGGUAAGGGCUCACCGCGGUUUUGGCAACAGGACCGGCAUGGCAAACCUCGUUUGGAGCAAGGCCAAGCAGCGGUCAGGUUUUCCGGACUAAUGGCCGCGGGUAGGCUGCUAAAGGCUUUUGGCAACAAAAGUUUCGGAUAGAUGGUUAUGCGCGCUUUUCUUUCUUUAGAAAAUGCACAGGACAGAACCCGGCUUAUUAUCUUUUCUGUUUU